AAGGAAGCACAGAAAACAAUAAGCACUGCUAAUUCUUAUUCCCAAGGUUAAACUCCUUGGCUCCCUUG
This 68-nucleotide transfer RNA is filed under the name Garra rufa. RNAcentral's name for it is "tRNA-Ser". The record is from RNAcentral. Lineage: Eukaryota; Metazoa; Chordata; Actinopteri; Cypriniformes; Cyprinidae.